CAGAGAGUAGUGUAAUAGAAAACGCUGACCUUGGACGUCAGAAAUCAACAAUGUUGCUCCCUGA
Molecule: transfer RNA, 64 nt
Filed under: Leocrates chinensis
Lineage: Eukaryota; Metazoa; Annelida; Polychaeta; Phyllodocida; Hesionidae
Description: tRNA-Pro
Source: RNAcentral